CCAAUAGCGUAUAUUAAAGUUGUUGCAGUUAAAAAGCUCGUAGUUGAAUUUCGGGAUCAAUUUAUCGGUCGUGCCUAUGGUAUGAACUGGUACAAUUGGUUUCUCCCUUCUGACGAAGCAUGAUGUCAUUAAUUUGGUGUCGUGGGGAAUCAGGACUGUUACUUUGAAAAAAUUAGAGUGUUUAAAGCAAGCAUUAGCUUGAAUACAUUAGCAUGGAAUAAUGAAAUAGGACGUUUGAUCCUAUUUCGUUGGUUUCUAGGGUCGACGUAAUGAUUAAUAGGGAUAGUUGGGGGCAUUAGUAUUCAAUUGUCAGAGGUGAAAUUCUUGGAUUUAUUGAAGACUAACUACUGCGAAAGCAUUUGCCAAGGAUGUUUUCAUUAAUCAAGAACGAAAGUUAGGGGAUCGAAGACGAUCAGAUACCGUCGUAGUCUUAACCAUAAACUAUGCCGACUAGGGAUCGGAUGAUGUUAAUUUUUUAAUGACUCAUUCGGCGCCUUACG
Molecule: ribosomal RNA, 500 nt
Filed under: uncultured Glomeromycotina
Lineage: Eukaryota; Fungi; Glomeromycota
Description: partial small subunit ribosomal RNA
Rfam family: Eukaryotic small subunit ribosomal RNA
Source: RNAcentral